Molecule: long non-coding RNA, 4320 nt
Filed under: Homo sapiens (human)
Lineage: Eukaryota; Metazoa; Chordata; Mammalia; Primates; Hominidae
Description: non-protein coding lnc-NOTCH1-1:1
Source: RNAcentral
AGGAGUCAUCAAGAGCUGCCAAGCACAGUGGUGCCGGUUGUAAACUGCACAAUUCCCGGGAGUGCCAUUGACCUGGGUGGCUACAACUGCCAGCAACCCUGUAGCCACUCUGUUGGCCUCAGUGGUCUCAGCAGUAAAAUGGCACAGGAGACCCCGUCCUGAGAAGGACACACGGUCGUCAGAAGGAAUCUGGACUCCAUCUGGAACAGAGCGAGGACCCCUCUACAGAGCCGGGACCUUCUCCGGAAAGGAGCUGGGCCUGCAUGGCCGUGCACAGAUGCCGGGAGUGCGGUGCUCUGUCCACCCAGGACUCCGCUUGCAGGGCCUCACGCUGCAUGGCUGACCCAACCCAGGACUGCGCUUGCGGGGCCUCACACUGCCUGGCCCACCCAAUUUCAAACAGUUCUCACGCUAGAAGAUGCACAAAGCCAGCUUUACAUUUUGGGGAAUGAUUCAGAAGGGCCAGGGACCUGCCGAGACACCUGGGGCUUCUUUGUGGGGCCCCAUCAAUGGGAGGCGGGGACCCUUGGGUCAGCCCAGACCCUGCUGGGCCUCAGUUUCUCAUGCCCAGCUCCAGCCGGGAGCCUGGGCAGGUCCAGAAUCACCGCACACGCAGAAGGGCCUCACUAGGACGGGGUGAGAGGUGAGAACAUGGAGCUGACUGAGGGAACAGUGUGGACGCAGCAGAGUCGCCUGAGAACCCAGCUCCAUGGCCCCCACGCCAGCCACCAAACCCCUCUGUGACCUGAGAAACAGAAACCAGACUCAGCCCGGCAGGUGUCAGACCCUGGUCUGGUUGGUCCGCAGCGGCUCCUGGCUCAGCGCAGGGACUGCCAGGGUCCAGGGGCCCUCAGGGGACUUGUUGAAGCCCAGCUCCUGCCAGGGAGGACAAGAACUCUCUUCUUCCAGGAGUAAACAGAAACGAGGGCCUGGCCCUGGGGUCCUAGGUGCCUCUGACCCCACCAGGAACCUCUGAGUCUCCCGAAGCACCUGCUGGCAGGGUGGGUGCAGCUCAGCAUGUGGGAGGACAUCGGGUCGCCAUUUCCCGAUAGAGCCAACAGCCUCUCCUCAAUGUGCUGUGCGGCCAGCCUGCCCCAGCUGGCUCUGGACUGAGGAGGUGGGCGCAGGGACUACAGAAGGGUCCAUGCUGGUGGGGGGCCCACUGCUGGGCCUAGGCAGGAGAAGGCUCCAGGCCAGAGGCCGCUAGCAGGGCAGACCCCAGCCUAGCCACGCGGGCUGGGAGGAAAGGGGAGGAUGCGGCGUCUGCUGUGACAGGCUUUGGGUCAAGGGUCUGCUCUGAGCCCCGAGCUCACCGCCACAGGGGCUUUCCCAGGCUGGCUUGGCAGCGGGCGGGGGCUCAGGGGAGCUCAGGAAGCGGGUGGUUCCCACAGCAGCGGCUCAGGCAGGCGGCCCACACACCCAGCCAGCGGGCUCCCGUGGGAAGGAGACCUGGAGGCCGGGGCUCUCCUCCCGUCUGCUCUAACCUCCUGGACAACCUUCAAUGCUGUCCUUCCCUCUCAGGCCUCAGUUUCCCAGUGAUCUUGAGGGGUGGUCGCUGGAGGUCAAAAGGGGAAGAUGACUGUUCAGUUGCCUUGUAAGCAGUGAACGCUUGCAGAAUCACAGCAGCUCCUGGCGUGGCUGGAUCCAGGGCUCCGGCAAUGCUGCCUGGACUUUGUGUCUGUCCCUCUUUGGGCUCCCUGACCCUGAUGUGGGCUCCCUCCCUGGUAAUCCCUUCCCACGGUGUGGCAAAGAUGGCUCAUGUCCCCCAGGUCGGCAACUCCCCUGGAAGAUAGGGUCUGCACAGGUCCUAGGCCCCCCUGUUCCAGGCAGCCUGGGCCCAGAAGUCCAAACACGUGGGCAGAUGGUUAGGGGAACAGUGGGUCCCCAAACCACAGCUGUCCACUGAAAGUGCUGACCACAAGCCAGGCCCAGGGCCAAGCACCAAGUGCCCACUGAGCCCACCUCAUCCCCUCACAGGUGCCAAAAGUGAGUCCAUUCCACAGAAGGGCACCCAAGGUGCAGAGCGGAAGUGUCACCUGCCUGAGGUCACCCAGCUUCAGGCAGAGACCAGGUGGAUAUGAGGAUCAAGGAUCCCGGUUCCACGGGCUGAAUUUCAACUCCUGAGCUCUCCUCGGGCUUCCCCAGUGAUUCUGGAGCCCUGCAGGGCAGGAAGCGAGUCCUAAUGCCCAUCCCAGACCUGCCGCCUCAGUGUCCCUUCCUGCCUUGGGGGGAAAGCUGGGGUGAGGAGGAUGCAACAGGGGCAACCGUUGGACCCCAGGGAGAGCCCAAGUCCUGGGCAUAAAGCACAGCACAUUCAUUCCGGAGCUGGGCCUCACCUGGGGCAAAUCAUAUUUUCACUCUAAAACAAAUGCAAACUCAAUGAUUAAGAUGAGCUACACACACUGGCUCUAAGGUGAACAAUUCAGGAGGGUUUGGUCGCACGCGGCCAGCGUGGGCCCUCAGUAGCGCCUCUGGGUGGAGCUCUCUCGGGAGUCUUCCCUCUCGGCUGUGGGACUCGAGGCGGCCAGGAGAAGCCAGAACUGAGGGCAUGCGGUCCACGCAGGAGCACGGGAGCCACGGGCCACGGGGUCCCCUCCUCACAGGAGCCACUGGUCGCGGGCAAGCACUGGGUGGUGGUGGAGUCCCAGAUGAGCUCCAGCACUGUCCAGAGAAAACAAGGCUACCGUCCAGCACACGUCCUCACUCACCCCGGCCACGGUGAUCUGACCACGGCCACGACCAGGCCACGGGGCCUCCCCACCACUGGGUCAAAGGCUGUUCUCAAGAGACUCAGUGACUUUUGGAGCACAGAGCAUCUUGGGUUAGUCUCCUGUCCACUUGGUUCCAUCAGCUGAGUUGUGCAGGGGUUCCUGGCCCACCUGGAACGCAGGGCCUUCCUGAGAUGCCAAGUACCCUGGGCUACAAGGGAGAGUUCCCGUGGCUGGAGGGCAUGGCCACCGGGAGGACGCCACAGAGAAAGUCCCAGGACCGAUGCUCUGAAAGCUGACCCAGUGCUGCCUCGGAGGGCCCCGGCUUGACUCACCACCCAUCCCCGCACUAAGUCUAUGCUGACCCUGGCAUGCUGCACCCACCCAACCCUUGUCCUCUGCAGGUCCCAGUCUGGUGGGGCAAUGGGCACCGAGUGAAGUUUUAAGAAAAUGACUGUGGUUUCCAACCAUAAUGACGAGCCCAGCAGUCUGGGUUGUGGGGCUUGUGGAAGGCUCCAUCAGAGGGUCCUGUGAGCUGAGGAAAGGGAUCGAGCUGGACCCCAGGACACACUUCUACCCCUAACUCUGCUCCUAGGGGCUCUAAAAAGUAAAGGAGUGUAUUAGGCCAUUCUCACACUGCUAUAAAGAGCUACCUAAGGGCGGGCGCAGCAGCUCAAGCCUGUAAUCCCAGCACUUUGGGAGGCCAAGGCAGGCAGAUCACGAGGUCAGGAGCUCGAGACCAGCCCGACCAACAUGGUGAAACCCUGUCUCUACUAAAAAUACAAAAAUUAGCUGGGCAUGGUGGCAAGCACCUAUAAUCCCAGCUACUCAGGAGGCUGAGGCGGGAGAAUCGCUUGAACUUGGGAGGUGGAGUUUGCAGUGAGCCGAGAUCAAGCUGCUACACUCCAGCCUGGACGACAGAGCAAGACUCUGUCUCAAAAAAUAAAAACUACCUGAGACUAGGUAAUUUAUGAAAAAAGAAGUUUAAUUGACACAGUUCUGCAGGCUGUUCAGGAGGCAUGGCUGAGGAGGCCUCAGGAAACUUACAAUCAUGGUGGAAGGCAAAGAGGAAGCAGGCACCAUUUUCAUAUGGCCAGAGCAGGAGAGAGUGCGAAGGGGGAAGUCCAUCCCGUGCUUCAAUCAUGGCCCACCAGGCCACGCCUUCAACAUGUGGGGAUUACAAUUUGACAUGAAAUUUGGGUGGGGACAUAGAACCAAACCAUAUCAUUCCAGCCCUGGCCCCUCCCAAAUCUCAUGUCCUUCUCACAUUUCAAAACACAAUCAUGCCUUCUCAACAGACCCCCAAAUCUUAACCCAUUUCAGCAUUAACUCAAAAGUCCAAAGUCUCAUCUGAGACAAGACAAGUCCCUUCUGCCUAUGAGCCUGUAAAAUCAAAAACAAGUUACUUACUUCCAAGAUACAAUGUGGGUACAGGCACUGGGUAAAUGCUCCCAUUUCAAAAGGGAGAAAUUGGCCAAAACAAAGGGCCUACAGGCCCCAUGCAUGUCCUGAACCCAGUAGGGUAGUCAUUAAACGGUUUUUUGUUUUUUUUUUGAGAUGAAGUCUUGCUCUUGUCCCCCAGGCUGGAGUGCAAUGGCACGACCUCGGCUCA